This 465-nucleotide ribosomal RNA is filed under the name uncultured bacterium. RNAcentral's name for it is "bacterial SSU rRNA". It matches the Rfam family "Bacterial small subunit ribosomal RNA", at positions 31 to 507 of the family's 1533-position model. The record is from RNAcentral.
GAACGCUGGCGGCAGGCCUAACACAUGCAAGUCGAGCGGGUUUCGGACCUAGCGGCGGACGGGUGAGUAAUGCGUAGGAAGCUACCCGAUAGAGGGGGAUACCAGUUGGAAACGACUGUUAAUACCGCAUAAUGUCUACGGCCAAAGUGUGGGACCUUCGGGCCACAUGCUAUCGGAUGCGCCUACGUGGGAUUAGCUAGUUGGUGAGGUAAUGGCUCACCAAGGCGACGAUCUCUAGCUGGUUUGAGAGGAUGAUCAGCCACACUGGAACUGAGACACGGUCCAGACUCCUACGGGAGGCAGCAGUGGGGAAUAUUGGACAAUGGGCGCAAGCCUGAUCCAGCCAUGCCGCGUGUGUGAAGAAGGCCUCGGGUUGUAAAGCACUUUCAGCGAGGAGGAAGAGUUGUGUGUUAAUAGCACACAGCUUUGACGUUACUCGCAGAAGAAGCACCGGCUAACUCUGUG